Molecule: long non-coding RNA, 328 nt
Organism: Rosa chinensis
Lineage: Eukaryota; Viridiplantae; Streptophyta; Magnoliopsida; Rosales; Rosaceae
Exons: 3
Source: RefSeq, a predicted model, not a curated record
AGACAACAACGAAGAAGAAGAACCAGAGUUUGUUCUCAUAAUUGAUGUUCAGUCGCAGAUUCAAAUCGGCGGCCACCAUGGCCUUUUGGGAUGAAGAGUCGAUAUGUUUUUAAGUCCAAGACUCAACCCACCAAUUCAUCGAGAAGAAAGCGGACAGUUCAGCGAAAAAGCCCGGUUUCAAUCCCAGUGGCUGCUCUUGACCUUGAUAAUGAAGAAACUACAAAAGAAGAGAGUGAGAAAGAGAAGGUAGAGCCUGAAAUUGUUGUUGUGAAUGAAGAAAAGAAAACAUGAGAAGAUGAGAAGGGUGAGAGGUUUGGUGCUUCGUGCU